AGUUCGCUCUACACCCUUUGUGACAUACCUAUAACUGUUGCUUCGGCGGGUAGGGUCUCCGUGACCCUCCCGGCCUCCCGCCCCCCCGGGCGGGCCGGCGCCCGCCGGAGGAUAACCAAACUCUGAUUUAACGACGUUUCUUCUGAGUGGUACAAGCAAAUAAUCAAAACUUUUAACAACGGAUCUCUUGGUUCUGGCAUCGAUGAAGAACGCAGCGAAAUGCGAUAAGUAAUGUGAAUUGCAGAAUUCAGUGAAUCAUCGAAUCUUUGAACGCACAUUGCGCCCGCCAGCAUUCUGGCGGGCAUGCCUGUUCGAGCGUCAUUUCAACCCUCAAGCUCUGCUUGGUGUUGGGGCCCUACAGCCGAUGUAGGCCCUCAAAGGUAGUGGCGGACCCUCCCGGAGCCUCCUUUGCGUAGUAACUUUACGUCUCGCACUGGGAUCCGGAGGGACUCUUGCCGUAAAACCCCCCAAUUUUCCAAAGGUUGACCUCGGAUCAGGUAGGAAUACCCGCUGAACUUA
RNAcentral lists this ribosomal RNA (519 nucleotides) under Colletotrichum gloeosporioides. RNAcentral describes it as "eukaryotic LSU rRNA". The stretch from base 168 to 321 matches the Rfam family "5.8S ribosomal RNA". The record is from RNAcentral. Lineage: Eukaryota; Fungi; Ascomycota; Sordariomycetes; Glomerellales; Glomerellaceae.